UAAACACCGCCGCAAAGUGUAGGGAGUGAAAUUAGUGUUGUGAAACGGUAAUAUUUGAUGAUUGGUUUCAAAAAUUUUGCAGGCA
RNAcentral lists this unclassified non-coding RNA (85 nucleotides) under Escherichia coli CFT073. RNAcentral's name for it is "anti-sense RNA silencer of rcsA gene". Lineage: Bacteria; Pseudomonadati; Pseudomonadota; Gammaproteobacteria; Enterobacterales; Enterobacteriaceae. The record is from RNAcentral.